CACACCGCCCGUCGCACCAUGGGAGUUGGUUUGACCUGAAGACGGUGCGCUAACCCGCAAGGGAGGCAGCCGGCCACGGUCAGGUCAGCGACUGGGGUG
This 99-nucleotide ribosomal RNA is filed under the name uncultured bacterium. Its description in RNAcentral is "partial 16S ribosomal RNA". It matches the Rfam family "Bacterial small subunit ribosomal RNA", at positions 1386 to 1482 of the family's 1533-position model. The record is from RNAcentral.